ACUCGAGUGGCGAACGGGUGAGUAACACGUGGGUGAUCUGCCCUGCACUUCGGGAUAAGCUUGGGAAACUGGGUCUAAUACCGGAUAGGAGCCAUCUUUAGUGUGGUGGUUGGAAAGUUUUCGGUGUAGGAUGAGCUCGCGGCCUAUCAGCUUGUUGGUGGGGUAAUGGCCUACCAAGGCGGCGACGGGUAGCCGGACUGAGAGGUUGGUCGGCCACAUUGGGACUGAGAUACGGCCCAG
This 240-nucleotide ribosomal RNA is filed under the name uncultured Actinomycetales bacterium. RNAcentral's name for it is "partial 16S ribosomal RNA". It matches the Rfam family "Bacterial small subunit ribosomal RNA", at positions 89 to 334 of the family's 1533-position model. Lineage: Bacteria; Bacillati; Actinomycetota; Actinomycetes; Actinomycetales. The record is from RNAcentral.